GAUCAUGGCUCAGGAUGAACGCUAGCUACAGGCUUAACACAUGCAAGUCGAGGGGCAGCAUGAAGUCAGCUUGCUUCAUUUGCCGGCGACCGGCGCACGGGUGCGUAACGCGUAUGUAACCUACCUUAAACAGGGGCAUAACACUGAGAAAUUGGUACUAAUUCCCCAUAACACUUUUGAAGGCAUCUUUGGAAGUUGAAAGUUCCGGCGGUUUAAGAUGGACAUGCGUUGUAUUAGUUAGUUGGUGAGGUAACGGCUCACCAAGACGACGAUACAUAGGGGGACUGAGAGGUUAACCCCCCACAUUGGUACUGAGACACGGUCCAGACUCCUACGGGAGGCAGCAGUGAGGAAUAUUGGUCAAUGGUCUGACGACUGAACCAGCCAUGCCGCGUGCAGGAUGACGGCUCUAUGAGUUGUAAACUGCUUUUGUACAAGGGUAAACCCCGAUACGUGUAUCGGGCUGAAAGUACUGUACGAAUAAGGAUCGGCUAACUCCGUG
Molecule: ribosomal RNA, 502 nt
Filed under: uncultured bacterium
Lineage: Bacteria
Description: bacterial SSU rRNA
Rfam family: Bacterial small subunit ribosomal RNA
Source: RNAcentral